RNAcentral lists this ribosomal RNA (505 nucleotides) under uncultured Candidatus Poseidoniales archaeon. RNAcentral's name for it is "bacterial SSU rRNA". It matches the Rfam family "Archaeal small subunit ribosomal RNA", at positions 1 to 511 of the family's 1478-position model. The record is from RNAcentral. Lineage: Archaea; Methanobacteriati; Thermoplasmatota; Candidatus Poseidoniia; Candidatus Poseidoniales.
UUCUGGUUGAUCCUGCCGGAGGCUACCGCUAUUGGAGUUCGAUUAAGCCAUGCGAGUCGAGAGUCUUAGGGACUCGGCGUACCGCUCAGUAACACGUGGGUAACCUGCCCUAUGCUGGGGAAUAACCUCGGGAAACUGAGAAUAAUACCCCAUAGUUCACCACGCCUGGAACGGUGGGUGGAUGAAAGCUCCGGCGGCAUAGGAUGGGCCUGCGACGUAUCAGGUUGUAGGGGGUGUAACGUACCCUCUAGCCAUCAACGCGUACGGGUGUUGGGAGACAUAGCCCGGAGAUGGAUUCUGAGACACGAAUCCAGACCCUACGGGGUGCAGCAGGCGCGAAAACUUGGCAAUGCGAGCAAUCGUGACCAGGGAACUCCAAGUGGCUGGGGUAAUACCCAGUUUUUUCUUGACUCUUCAAAGGUCUUGGAAUAAGGGGUGGGUAAGGACGGUGCCAGCCGCCGCGGUAAUACCGGCGCCUCAAGUGGUAGUCGCUUUUAUUGGGCCU